GCUGGAGUGUUAAGUACAUAUUGAUGGCAUAAUAAUGAGCAGAACAAAGAAAAUUACAAACAAAUACAACUCUAAAUGAGGAUCUGGAUGGGGGCCCUUCAUUUCUGUCUUCUUUGAUUACUUUUCUCUAAUUUUUUUUUACAUUUUUGCAAAUUAUUCUCUUUUCUUUAUGUUAUAGCAACCAUUAAUUCUCUAUUCUUUAUUUUUUCCUAUUUUUUUUUCCAUUUAUUCUGGACAUUUCACUCAUUAUGCAUUAUUACAACCAGUCGUAUUAGUCUUGGAUAAGAUUGGUUGGAUCCAAAGCAAGGGUUC
RNAcentral lists this long non-coding RNA (312 nucleotides) under Mytilus galloprovincialis (Mediterranean mussel). Lineage: Eukaryota; Metazoa; Mollusca; Bivalvia; Mytilida; Mytilidae. The record is from RNAcentral.